UACGGGAGGCAGCAGUGGGGAAUAUUGCACAAUGGGCGCAAGCCUGAUGCAGCCAUGCCGCGUGUAUGAAAAAGGCCUUCGGGUUGUAAAGUACUUUCAGUCGUGAGGAAGGUGUUAAGGUUAAUAACCUUAGCAAUUGACGUUAGCGACAGAAGAAGCACCGGCUAACUCCGUGCCAGCAGCCGCGGUAAUACGGAGGGUGCGAGCGUUAAUCGGAAUUACUGGGCGUAAAGGGCACGCAGGCGGUUAAUUAAGUUGGAUGUGAAAUCCCCGGGCUUAACCUGGGAAUGGCAUUCAAGACUGGUUAGCUAGAGUCUUGUAGAGGGGGUAGAAUUCCAUGUGUAGCGGUGAAAUGCGUAGAGAUGUGGAGGAAUACCGGUGGCGAAGGCGGCCCCUGGACAAAGACUGACGCUCAUGUGCGAAAGCGUGGGGAGCAAACAGGGAUUAGAUACCCGU
RNAcentral lists this ribosomal RNA (456 nucleotides) under uncultured bacterium. Its description in RNAcentral is "bacterial SSU rRNA". It matches the Rfam family "Bacterial small subunit ribosomal RNA", at positions 340 to 789 of the family's 1533-position model. The record is from RNAcentral.